This 1961-nucleotide long non-coding RNA is filed under the name Theobroma cacao (cacao). Its description in RNAcentral is "long non-coding RNA (TCAC_LNC000394)". The record is from RNAcentral. Lineage: Eukaryota; Viridiplantae; Streptophyta; Magnoliopsida; Malvales; Malvaceae.
UUUAUAUUUACCGAUAAAUAAUUUUUGUAGCUUAAAAGCUAAAUAAAUUCAUACAUACUGUAAUACAGAUAACCAAAGUAUAAAAUUUAAUUUACAGUGACACGUGGGCCCACGAAUGACCAAAAGUAUCAAAAGCGGUAAACCUACAGUUUUUGAGGAUGCUAAUCCAACUGUAGCGCUCAACAAAGUGAGCUAUCUAUCAACUAUCUUGAGUCUGAAAUGGGUGGAAAGGAGGGUGGUGAGAUUAUAUAAUCCAAGUGAGUAAACAAAUACCAUCUAAAAUAUCUAAAGCUGAGUAAAUGGAGACAGAUAAAAUAGUUUAACAUACUGUAAUUCAUCAACUUCCAACUCAUUUCAACCAAAUAAAAUCAAUUCAUAUAAAUCGAGUAAUCAACAUGGCUUAUGAAUUUCUUAAAACCUUGGCUCGUGCCAAAAUCAUUCUCAUACUCAGUUAUUAGGGAUACCUUGGCCGAGGGCUAUCCCAACCGAGUCCGCCAAGACUGUUAAAAAGUCAUGUACGCAUAAAUCAUGUUUUUAUUUUGAAAACAUAGCCGUUCCUAAGCGUUGGCUGAGUUCUCCCUCACGUGGUGGUUUGGCGUGAAGUGAACUCUAAAAGUGUACCUCAGGAGUUACCCUACACGCCUCUCCAAUCGAGGUAAGAAUAUAACAAGGUUACCGUGCCCCUCUAAUAAGCUGGUCCACGGAACCCACCCACUGCAGCUAUCUAAACCCACCAAUUCAAUAAAAUCUCAACCGCAUGACAUGGCAAUUAUAUCACAAUCCAGCCUCUCAAGGCUAAAUACACAGUUCAUAUAUUUUCAGCACAUUUACCAAUUCAGCCAUUCAUGCAAAUAUUGUCAUAAGCCAUUCGAUUCGAACCAUGAAUUUACAACACAUGAAAACAGUCUAUAAUUACUCUAUUUUCAAAACCAUCAUUCAAUCUCAAGACAAUUUUAUAAAAUCAUUUUCAUUUAAUCUCAUUUUGCUUGUAAAAUACAAAGAUUUACCAUUUAAACUCAUUUUCCAUAAAAUUACAAAAUCGGAUAAAACCACUUUAGAUAAUUAAUAUGAUAGUAAGGUUACUCACUAUUUCGGGAGUCGAAUUCCGAGUACUCCGAUUCUUGAUCCUCGGGUACUAUCUCUUUACUUUUGCCAGAAUGCUCACUACCUAGACAUAAUGCACAAUAAGCCAUUUACUACAUUUGUGCUAAAUUAUUAUAAAACCAAUUCAGGCUCUAUACUAAUGCAUGAAAUGGGAUAUGAAAUACUCGGGUAACUAUCUAAAUACGGUGUUCAAUAUAAAUUCAAUUAUGUACCUAAAUAAAAUGGUAUUGGCCUAAUUUGAUUUAUCACCCGAUUAAUUGGCCAAUACGUCCAAUUCAACUCCAAAUAAUUCCAUUUUUCUUCCAAUACUCCAAAUCAUCAAACACAAAUUAAAUAACUUGAAAUAUGGCAAAAUUAUCCUCACAUUUUCUCUUGGAAAAUUCGACCAUGGUGGGUGCAUCAAUACUAUAAUUUUUCCUACUUAAUUCUCACACCAUAAAUCACUAAUUCCUAACCAAAUCACUUGAAAUAAAAUCAAAAUCAUCCUCAAUAUUCCACAUGGAGAAUUCGGCUAAUGAUGGGUGAUGGAAGAACAUGAAUUUUUCUUGCUUGAUUUUCAUGCUACACAUCACCAAUCAACUAAAAACACUAAAAUACAUUGAAAUCUAACCAAAUCAAGCAUCAAAACCUCUCUCUAAGUGUUCAGCCAGCAAGAUACCCAUCAUGAAAUCAUGUGAUUCAACCAUGGAAAAUGCAAAAGAAUGUAUGGGAAAGGUAGAUCACAAGUCAAAAUCAAGAAAUUUUACCUUUGAUUGCUUGAUUACUUGAAAUUCACCAAAUUUUCUCUUGAAUUUUCACCCUAGGGUUCUUGUUCUUUCUUUUCUUCCUUUGUUCUUGCUUUGGCCGGUCAUAUGAAG